AAGACGUGUCGCGAAAUUAACAUCGAUAAAGUCUUUGUAAACGGAAAUAAAAGGAAGUCUACUUCAACUUAUCCCACGAAAAACGUAUUGAGAUGAGCAUAGUAGAUUGCAAUCAAAAAGUAUCAAAAGAUAACAGCGAGAUUAAAACUAAACAAGUCGAGAGUUAACUGUUUAUCUGGCAAUGUUUUGAGUAUUGAAAGACAAAGAAACUGAAACUGGAAAACAUAUGGAAAAUAUUAGACUUUUAUCGAUACUUCUUUUUCAAAAAGAAAAUAUCUGCAUGUACAAAAGCAGUAUACUACCAAAAGGUCUCCUCCGCAAUAGCUGAAGAAAGUUAUUUUUCAUGAUGAUAUGUCGUGACUUUUCUUAAGUAUCUGAAACACUCGUGCAGCCAAAUUGAUGCCAGUUUGCCCCAAUAUAGCUUAAAUGUUAGUCAUAAAUCAUUUCUAGACUCUACAAAAUAAAGAUAGCAACAUUUACCAUAACAAACGAAGCUAAGUAAUUUUCUUGUAGAAAAAAAGGCCAUACUAGUGUACUUAAAUCAGGUUACAGAGAGUCCGACUUUUCCAAAAAAGGUGUUCUUCCGCAUUUACCCCUCAACAAAAAUAAUAUAUUUGCGUGUUCUGAAUAAACUUAAUCUAAUGCUGAUGGACGUUGUAAUGUCUAUGCCUGGACUAAAAGUUCUUCCAAGGGCAAUAAACAAUUGAGAACCUCUUGGUCACGAAAUGUUGACAAUGAAAAGCUGUUACACAGUCAUGUGUUACAGUUGACAGCAAUUUGAUGUAUCUUUUUCUUUAGAAACAGUGUUACGUAGGUAACUAGCGUAACACAAAUACACACAUAGAAAAACUUCGUCAUAAGUUUUCCAUUUUGUUCCAACAGAGACAUCAUAUCCGCGCCGUUGUGGAAUUAUUAAUAAAAUAACGCCGAUAGGCAGAAGACCAAGAUCCAUUCAAGAUAUAACUCUCAGAUAGAGCUAAACACGGAAACUCCAGUCCUUUAAAAGAAGAUAUUACAUAAAUAUGGGCUUUCAUGACCUCGAGAUACUGCAAAACACGUGCGAGGAAAUUGGUGAGAGCCAUUCUCAUGAAAUGCAAGCAAGAUGUCAGCAGGUUGCAGCUGAACUUCGAAUCAUUGGAGACGCCUUAGAUAGGAGUUACUUCCAAGACACUUCAAGCAACAGUCGCCGACGGUUUUUCAUCGGUGCCGUAAUGCUGGGAAUCGCAACCAACAUUGCGGUACAUUACUUUGCCAGGAUAUUUGCUCGUAACACUGAUUAGCCCUACGAGAUGAAACACUGUGAAAAUUCGGGCUACGGUUAGCUUCCUCUCCGAGAUGAAAACGUCUCUCAGUUCAGCUUCGAGACUAAUUGGAACGUUUCUCGAGAAAAUACUUCUUCAAAUGAUGUAGGGAAUGUAUUGAAAGACUGUUACUGAUGUUUUAAUGUUUAAUAUUAAAUCAUUAGCCUUAAACUUCUGAGACAGGAGAACAAGAGAGAAAGCCUUCGAGGAGAACACCAUUCAUUCGUUUACGAAGAAGCAAUUUUUCAUGGAGGUAAAUUUUUUUAAUGUAUCUUGACUCAAACAUUUUUAAACAAAAUAUAUUCGCAAUAAGUUGGAUCAAGAAAAUGUCAUAAAACGUUUUGUUGGUUAAUGUGAUGUGUGAUGCAGAGUGCAUUGUUCCGCGACACCAGAAGGUUUCUUUUAGGUACUACAUCCAAAAUUUUACACAAAUAUUUUGUAAAUUUAUCCAAUGGGUGCAUGCAUGGAUCUCGAAUUAUUGCUAUGUACAAUUUAGUUUGAAAUGGCUGGUUUUGCAUUGAAUAAGACCUCGGACAUAUUAUUUUAUUGACCAUUAUAUGUUACGUAAAAUGUUCUCGCCAAUAAUCCCAUAUAUAUAUACAAAAGAACUGAACGUAGUUGUUUGUUUGUAGCAACAUUUAUCGAACGCGUCAAUUAGAACGUGAGAAAUGGUGCUUAUGACAAGAAAGGAACAUCCCUAACUUAUCUGAAUUUGUUUUUAUGUACAGGGAACAACCUUCAGAAACAAAAGAUAAUAAAACUGCAUUAUACGUUGUUAUUUAGUGCAAACGAGUAAACCUCUUAUCUAAUUCCACCAAAAGUACCUCAUUUGCAAUGCAAGUUUUUCGUGAAUAUUUUGUGAGGUCUCUAAAAGGGUCCUACCUUUGUUUCAGCAAACAAUUAUUUUUAGACAUAUUGCAUCUGGGAAAAAAAUUUAAAUUAACAUAUUUUUAAAGGACACCUCGAUGGCUGCAAUAGAAAAGCCUCAGGCUGAAUUGAUCAAUGCAGGGUGUUGGACAGUAGGAACAUAAGAAAACUCGGGUAGCAACAACGACGAGAAAAUGGUAAAGAAAAAAGCUUGAUGAGCAAAAGAACUGCCUGGCUCAAAUGUACGAAUUUUCUUUGAUUUGCUUGCCAUUCUUGUUAACUAAUGCAUUUAUAUGAAGGGGAACUAAACAGUCAACAAUGGCAUCGUUGGAAAAAUUAGUAUUUCCUAUUCAGAAUGCAGGCCUCCUCUUUACAGAGCAUGCUCUACACAGUCCUGAUGUUGAUACAAAAAACUAAAGGUGACAGUCAAAGAAAACAAUUCAUAGCAUCUUUGUUAAUGGCGUCGUCGUUAACAUUGGAAUAAUCAAUUUUUAAGGUCCCAAUUGCAUUGCGAAACUGUUUGCUGGCCUGUUCUGUUGUUUAGAUGGGGACCGUAACGAUUAACAGGGCGACGACGGAAACGAAAAUUUUUCGGAACAAUAGGGUUUACUGAGCAAAACAAUGGCUUUGCUAGUGCGUUCUAAAACUAAGCAUGUUUGUUGACCGUCCCGUACAUCAAAAACUGAACAAAUCCCUCAGAACAGAGGCCUUGACAAACCAAUUUGUCUUGUUUUCAUUUCUAUGAUCACUUCCUUAAUAUGGAUGGGUCUGACGAUUUUAGACACAAUAAACACGUCUGGCUGUCGGAAAAUGUAAGCAUUAUCUUUUUUGGCACAGGUAGAAAGACUUGAGGUUCAAAAUAUACGUACGGAAUGUUAUGGAAAACAGUAACAUAUAACUCAACUUGUAAGAUACUUGUAACUUUAUAAAUUAAUCACUUUUAUAAGGGAAAAUAUGAUUUUCAAAACGUUAAAUUAAAAAAAAAAUUUAUACACAAAUAGAAAUCAAUCACCAGUGUGUUUGAUUUGAUAAUUGAGUCAGUUCUUCAUCUUUUUCUUCUCGUUCACUUCUAACACGUAAUGAAUAUUUUGAGUUUUGUCAGGAACGAUCGUUUGUCGUAAGUAUCCAGAAAAAACACCCUAACUUAUGAUUUACUGAGAGCUAUACCAUCAUUA
Molecule: long non-coding RNA, 3343 nt
Filed under: Pocillopora damicornis (cauliflower coral)
Lineage: Eukaryota; Metazoa; Cnidaria; Anthozoa; Scleractinia; Pocilloporidae
Description: uncharacterized LOC113671814
Source: RNAcentral